RNAcentral lists this ribosomal RNA (497 nucleotides) under uncultured bacterium. RNAcentral's name for it is "partial 16S ribosomal RNA". It matches the Rfam family "Bacterial small subunit ribosomal RNA", at positions 28 to 507 of the family's 1533-position model. The record is from RNAcentral.
GAUGAACGCUGGCGGCGUGCCUAAUACAUGCAAGUCGAGCGAACAGACGCGGAGCUUGCUCCUCUGACGUUUGCGGCGGACGUGUGAGUCACACGUGUAUAACCUACUUAUCAGACUGGGAUACCUUCGGGAAACCGGAUCUAAUACCGGAUAAUAUAUUUACCCGCAUGGUUCAAUAGUGAAUGUCGGUUUUUCUGUUACUUCUAGCUGGAUCGGCGCCGCUUUAGCUAGUUGGUAAGGUAACGGCUUACCAAGGCAACGAUGCGUAGCCGACCUGAGAGGGUGAUCGGCCACACUGGAACGGAGACACGGUCAAGAAGCCGACGGGAGGGAGCAGUAGGGAAUAUUCCGCAAUGGGGGAAAGCAUGACGGAACAAGGGCGAGUGAGUGAUGAAGGACUUCGGAUCGGAAAACACUGUUAUUAGGGAAGAACAAAUGUGAAAGGAAAUAAGCACGAAGUGACGGUACCUAAAGAGAAAGCAACGGCUAACUACGUG